This 246-nucleotide small RNA is filed under the name Ectopseudomonas alcaliphila. RNAcentral describes it as "Pseudomonas alcaliphila Pseudomonas sRNA P17". It matches the Rfam family "Pseudomonas sRNA P17". The record is from RNAcentral. Lineage: Bacteria; Pseudomonadati; Pseudomonadota; Gammaproteobacteria; Pseudomonadales; Pseudomonadaceae.
GCAAGGAACUGGUCGCUCAUUCCAGCGAUUAUCUCGACGGCCAAAUGACGUUGCGUCAGCGCCUGGCGGUGCGUGCGCACCUGGCCAUGUGCGGCAACUGUCGGCGUUUCAUCCGCCAGAUGAAACUGACCCAGGCGGUGAUCCGGCAGAUGCCGGAUGAGGAGUUACCCGAACUCGACGCCCUGGCCGAGCGCCUGGCGCAGAAUCGGCGUAAUCAAGGAUGAACCGUGAUCCUAGGGUUUGGUU